Long non-coding RNA from Dermacentor andersoni, 1104 nucleotides. RefSeq lists it as uncharacterized. Lineage: Eukaryota; Metazoa; Arthropoda; Arachnida; Ixodida; Ixodidae. The record is from RefSeq and is a predicted model, not a curated record.
GGCUGUUUCGCGUCCCCGAGCUCUGAUUCAGCAUGUUUCGUUUCCUUGGUGACUCGCGUUUUGCCAGUGUCGAUGCCUUGCGUGAUCUGCUUUGAGAGUCGGCACGUUCCGAGGAAGUGAGCGAACUUCGGACUUCUGGUGUACAUGUACGGUGCGUUUUGUACGGCGAAUGCGAUCGCCCCGUAGUUUACAGUUGCUUAGGCGAACCUGUGCUCAAAAAGAAUGCAAACGGAAGCACCCUGUGGCUUUCAGCACCGUAUACGGCAUGAAACCGUGGCCGCCGCUGCUGGAUUUUGAAAAUGCCAGCACACUCUUCGCGCUCAAAGUGGAUUGACUCUUGGAACUCCACAGGAUUUUCUCCCGGCCAGCGACCUGAUCAAUUCUCGGUGUACAAUGGCAUACACAGCAAUAUACCUGCAGGAGGAGGUCUCAAAGUCAACGACUGAAGAUCGUCGUUUUGUGUUGUCGCACCUUGCGACAAAGAAUAAUCUGCAGCAGGUGUGGCGGCGCUUCCACUGUCAUCACUUUGGCUGCCGUUCUGUUCGUCUGCUCUUGACGCUCUGCACAACUGCGCGCCCCUGCCGUCUGCUGUGCGCUUCAAGAUGUCUCUAUAUCGGCCAGUGUCUCAGCAUUGUAGGGAAAACCGAAGAAAGGACACAUGGCAUUCUGUGCGGCUCUACAGCGGGCCAACACGGGGAGGGACAGCAUUGCCCAUUUCUUGUACUUCCAGAAAGGGCGAUGUGAGAGCGUUCUGUGUCGGAGAAGACCGCGACACACUGGCUAAUCGGGCACCACUCCCCAAGAUCCUCACCUUCAGGGGAUACCAGAAGAACUACGUAUCGGCCGUUGCCUUACGUAACGACUGCGUUUGCCAGCACGUGGCCUCUGGUGCUCAUUCCGAACGGUGGUAGGUGGCGCUACGGAUGCACUGAACGCAACUAUUGAACAAGGAUUUACGUGACGACACGGUUUCAAAGGAAAGUGCUGCAGGCCCAGUCAUUUUAUCCCUUUCUGGUCCAAAUUUUUUCGACAAAGAGAAAUAGUUACGUUAAUGUACGUCUGAACACCAGAUAUCAAGGUAAAAUAAACGAAAUUCCGGCUUCA